AGUGAACGCUGGCGGUAGGCCUAACACAUGCAAGUCGAACGGCAGCACAGUAAGAGCUUGCUCUUACGGGUGGCGAGUGGCGGACGGGUGAGGAAUACAUCGGAAUCUACUUUUUCGUGGGGGAUAACGUAGGGAAACUUACGCUAAUACCGCAUACGACCUACGGGUGAAAGCAGGGGAUCUUCUGACCUUGCGCGAUUGAAUGAGCCGAUGUCGGAUUGGCUAGUUGGCGGGCUGAUGGCCUACCAAGGCGAGGAUCGGUAGCUGGUCUGAGUGGAUGGUAGGCGGCACUGGAGCUGGGACACGGUCCAGACUCCUGAGGGACGCACCAGUGGGCAAUAGUGGACAACAGUGGCGAGUAUGGUACAGUCAGAGCGAGUGGGUUAAAGAAGCGCUGGGUUUGUAAUGACGGUCUUCUGGGAAUAAAAAGCAGCCGCUUAUGACCACGCGUUUCUGACGGUACCCAAUAAAUAAGCACCGGCUAACUACGUG
Molecule: ribosomal RNA, 492 nt
Filed under: uncultured bacterium
Lineage: Bacteria
Description: partial 16S ribosomal RNA
Rfam family: Bacterial small subunit ribosomal RNA
Source: RNAcentral